This is a small nucleolar RNA of Meriones unguiculatus (Mongolian gerbil), 135 nucleotides long. The record is from Ensembl. Lineage: Eukaryota; Metazoa; Chordata; Mammalia; Rodentia; Muridae.
CUGCACGUUUCAUUGACCUGUGUUCUUUUUACCAUGUGAGCAGUAUAAUUUCUUAUUACGUGCUGCACAAAUAGUUGAAGGUUAACUAGCAGAGUGAGUCUAUAUAGUAAUGCUGCCAACCUCAUUCAGAGAAAA